This 512-nucleotide ribosomal RNA is filed under the name uncultured bacterium. Its description in RNAcentral is "bacterial SSU rRNA". It matches the Rfam family "Bacterial small subunit ribosomal RNA", at positions 999 to 1518 of the family's 1533-position model. The record is from RNAcentral.
CCUAGAGAUAGGGUUUCCCUUCGGGGCACCGGUGACAGGUGGUGCAUGGUUGUCGUCAGCUCGUGUCGUGAGAUGUCGGGUUAAGUCCCGCAACGAGCGCAACCCUUACUGUUAGUUGCUACGCAAGAGCACUCUAGCAGGACCGCCGUUGACAAAACGGAGGAAGGUGGGGAUGAUGUCAAAUCAUCAUGCCCCUUAUGACCUGGGCCUCACACGUACUACAAUGGCCGUUAACAGAGGGAAGCAAGACCGCGAGGUGGAGCAAGACCCCAAAAACGGUCUCAGUUCGGAUCGUAGGCUGCAACCCGCCUGCGUGAAGUUGGAAUUGCUAGUAAUCGCGGAUCAGCAUGCCGCGGUGAAUACGUUCCCGGGCCUUGUACACACCGCCCGUCACACCAUGGGAGCCGGUAAUACCCGAAGUCAGUAGCCUAACCGUAAGGAGGGCGCUGCCGAAGGUAGGAUUGGCGACUGGGGUGAAGUCGUAACAAGGUAGCCGUAUCGGAAGGUGCGGC